AGCAUGAUUGCGAAGUGAUAGGAUGAGUAUGUUUGAUUUUGUAAGAAACUGUCAAAAUACUUUCCAAAGUGGUUAUCUCAUUUCGCAUUUCCAUCAGCAAU
RNAcentral lists this microRNA precursor (101 nucleotides) under Marmota monax (woodchuck). Lineage: Eukaryota; Metazoa; Chordata; Mammalia; Rodentia; Sciuridae. The record is from RNAcentral.